Camelina sativa (false flax) is the source of this 293-nucleotide non-coding RNA. The record is from RefSeq and is a predicted model, not a curated record. NCBI's taxonomy places the organism in Eukaryota, Viridiplantae, Streptophyta, Magnoliopsida, Brassicales, Brassicaceae.
CUUUCCCAUUAAGUAGCUGGGAAUCUAUUGAUCAGAUUACUAAAACUUCUCAGGAAAAUACUUGCGUUACUUUUGCUAAAAUUUUGGAAUUUCGAAAAGACAUCGAAUGGUACUAUGUUGGAUGCACACAAUGUUUCAAGAGGGCUGUGCCCUAUUUUAAUCCAGAAACAGAAGCACUUGACCUCAACAAGUAUUCAUGUGAUCAUUGCAACAAGGAAGAAACUUCAACAAGUAUAAGGUACAAAGUACAUGUUAAAGUUGUUGAUCAUACAGCUGCAACCGCUUCCUUCCUU